Glycine soja is the source of this 284-nucleotide long non-coding RNA. RefSeq lists it as uncharacterized. The record is from RefSeq and is a predicted model, not a curated record. The transcript is spliced from 3 exons. Lineage: Eukaryota; Viridiplantae; Streptophyta; Magnoliopsida; Fabales; Fabaceae.
UGCAUGGUUUUGUUUGUUACGUAAGAAGCCUGAUACUCAUAUCAAAACUGCAAUUAACAAUGCAAUGAAGUCAGCAAACACAACUGCGGAUGGUACAAAUAAUCCAGCAACUCCUAAGUGGAUUGAAGUCAAGAGCCAUGUUCAAAGCGGAGGGUAUGAGUGUGGCUACUACGUGAUGCAUUGGAUGUGGAACAUCGUCAGUGGGGGUUUAAAGAAUGAUUGGAGCAUGGUAUGUUCGGUUUAACAUCUUCAAAUUACUAUUUUAGUAGUAUUUUCAUUCAUUU